GCGGGCAUGGCGGAAUUGGCAGACGCGCCAGAUUUAGGUUCUGGUACGAGAGUGUGCAGGUUCAAGUCCUGUUGCCCGCACUA
This 83-nucleotide transfer RNA is filed under the name Clostridium sp. RNAcentral describes it as "tRNA-Leu". It matches the Rfam family "tRNA". From Rfam's summary of the family: Transfer RNA (tRNA) molecules are approximately 80 nucleotides in length. Their secondary structure includes four short double-helical elements and three loops (D, anti-codon, and T loops). The record is from RNAcentral. RNAcentral also lists the same sequence under 23 other names. Lineage: Bacteria; Bacillati; Bacillota; Clostridia; Eubacteriales; Clostridiaceae.